RNAcentral lists this ribosomal RNA (468 nucleotides) under uncultured bacterium. Its description in RNAcentral is "partial 16S ribosomal RNA". It matches the Rfam family "Bacterial small subunit ribosomal RNA", at positions 28 to 507 of the family's 1533-position model. The record is from RNAcentral.
GACGAACGCUGGCGGCGUGCUUAACACAUGCAAGUCGAACGGAAAGGCCCUGCUUUUGUGGGGUGCUCGAGUGGCGAACGCGUGAGUAACACGUGAGUAACCUGCCCUUGACAUUGGGAUAACUUCAGGAAACUGGGGCUAAUACCGGAUAGGAGCUCCUGCUGCAUGGUGGGGGUUGGAAAGUUUCGGCGGUUGGGGAUGGACUCGCGGCUUAUCCGCUUGUUGGUGGGGUAGUGGCUUACCAAGGCUUUGACGGGUAGCCGGCCUGAGAGGGUGACCGGCCACAUUGGGACUGAGAUACGGCGCAGACUCCUACGGGAGGCAGCAGUGGGGAAUAUUGCACAAUGGCCGGAAGCCAGAUGCAGCAACGCCGCGUGCGGGAUGACGGCCUUCGGGUUGUAAACCGCUUUCGCCUGUGACGAAGCGUGAGUGACGGUAAUGGGUAAAGAAGCACCGGCUAACUACGUG